UUUUUUCCCUGGAAGCCAUCCUGUCAGAGGGGUGCAGGUAAUGAAAGUGGGCAAACUACAGUUGCACCAAGGCAUGUUCCCCCAGGCGAUGAAGAACCUCAGACUGGCUUUUGAUAUUAUGAGAGUGACCCACGGCAGAGAGCACAGCCUGAUUGAAGAUUUGAUCCUACUUUUAGAAGAAUGUGAUGCCAACAUAAGAGCAUCCUAAGGGGUGCAGUCAGAGGGAAGGACGGCUUCUACCCUUAUUGAAUGUCAUAUAGAGGUCACACACUCUACACUGUGUGAGCCUCCCUACUGGUAAUGUGAUUCUCUGGUCAUGUAGGUAAACAAAGGCAGACAUACAGUGUGCAAACCACAAGAAUCAUUCGUUGUAGAGAAGCACAAUUAUCAGAAAUAUAAAAAAUUUGGUUGAAAAUGCCAUCUGGUAAUCGUUUGCUUCCUCAUUGGUUGACUUCAGUGUUUAAGAUCUCAACAUUCUCAACAUGAAGGAUAGAAAGUUCUAUUAAAAGCAUGGUAGAAUAAGUUGUAACUUUCUCCUUGGCUAUCUGUGGGGAUAAUUGAAUUAAAAAUCAGUGUUUUCACAAGCAAAA
This is a non-coding RNA of Leptonychotes weddellii (Weddell seal), 590 nucleotides long. The record is from RefSeq and is a predicted model, not a curated record. Lineage: Eukaryota; Metazoa; Chordata; Mammalia; Carnivora; Phocidae.